GACGAACGCUGGCGGCGUGCCUAAUACAUGCAAGUUGAGCGCUGAAGGUUGGUACUUGUACCAACUGGAUGAGCAGCGAACGGGUGAGUAACGCGUGGGGAAUCUGCCUUUGAGCGGGGGACAACAUUUGGAAACGAAUGCUAAUACCGCAUAAAAACUUUAAACACAAGUUUUAAGUUUGAAAGAUGCAAUUGCAUCACUCAAAGAUGAUCCCGCGUUGUAUUAGCUAGUUGGUGAGGUAAAGGCUCACCAAGGCGAUGAUACAUAGCCGACCUGAGAGGGGGAUCGGCCACAAUGGGACUGGGAAACCGCCCAAACUCCUACGGGGGGCAGCAGUAGGGAAUCUUCGGCAAUGGACGGAAGUCUGACCGAGCAAAGCCGCGUGAGUGAAGAAGGUUUUCGGAUCGUAAAACUCUGUUGGUAGAGAAGAAAGUUGGGGAGAGUGGAAAGCUCAUCAAGUGACGGUAACUACCCAGAAAGGGACGGCUAACUACGUG
Molecule: ribosomal RNA, 497 nt
Filed under: uncultured bacterium
Lineage: Bacteria
Description: partial 16S ribosomal RNA
Rfam family: Bacterial small subunit ribosomal RNA
Source: RNAcentral